UAGCAGAAGCAUUCUACUUUCCAGUAAAUAGCAAAAAGAUUACAUUUUCACAAUUUUGUAAAACUGCUAUAUUUUGGGGCCAGAAAGGGGUCUUACUGAACCUACUCCUUUGUUAUGUUUUCUGAAUGUUUGUUGUGUUAUAGACAAAGUUAAAUCACAGUUUGUUUUGUUACACGAGUGAUGAAUGGUUUUGAAGGCAUCGAAUUGAAGUGGAAUCUUUAACAUUUAUACAUUUGACUGGAUCUGUUUGAUGAAAACAUGUGAAAAGAAAUCAUGGUAUGCUUGUUAAUUUUGCUGCGUUUUGUAUUUUUUUUUUUUUUUAAUGUAUUCUUUCUUUCUUUUAAGUAAGCCAUAAACCUAUGUAGGUUAAUAAAGGAAUAUAAUACAGAAGCAGGGAUAGAUGAUAAUGCAUUCAAAUUUAAUUCUUAUUAAAUUGUAUGAUUACUCAAAACUUUUAUUUACAUCCAACCUUCAAUUUUGAAAAUAGAGUGAAAAAAAUCAGAAAAUAUGAAAUUAUUUAAAACAUGAACAAAUCAAAUUGUAGAAUUUGAAAAGUACUGGGAGCACAUUUUUCUUUGCAUAUUUUAGAGUUUCUGUAUCAGUGUUGACUUUGUGUAAUACUUUCAAGAACAAAAAUCUAUAUAAGAUCUCUUCUGUAUGCCCUUGUCAUGGUUGAUAAAAUGUACAAGAGUUUUUGAUAAAUGAAUUGAGUGGUUGACAAAAUGUAUUGCCAUGUGUAUUUGCUUUUUUUGUAUGAAUAGUAAGAAUGUGGAAUGAAUCUGUAAUCAAUUACAUAAAGUAGUAUGAAUUGUUAGUUGCAAUAUUUUGUUAUGAUGUAAAACUUGUUUAAGAAAUAAAUGAAAAUUUAUAAUAUAA
RNAcentral lists this long non-coding RNA (876 nucleotides) under Mytilus galloprovincialis (Mediterranean mussel). The record is from RNAcentral. Lineage: Eukaryota; Metazoa; Mollusca; Bivalvia; Mytilida; Mytilidae.